GGGCGGAUACCCAAGCGGUCAACGGGGCCAGACUGUAAAUCUGGUGGCAUUGCCUUCGAAGGUUCGAAUCCUUCUCCGCCCACCA
RNAcentral lists this transfer RNA (85 nucleotides) under Gemmatimonadaceae bacterium. RNAcentral describes it as "tRNA-Tyr". It matches the Rfam family "tRNA". From Rfam's summary of the family: Transfer RNA (tRNA) molecules are approximately 80 nucleotides in length. Lineage: Bacteria; Pseudomonadati; Gemmatimonadota; Gemmatimonadia; Gemmatimonadales; Gemmatimonadaceae. RNAcentral also lists the same sequence under 1 other name. The record is from RNAcentral.